RNAcentral lists this long non-coding RNA (1658 nucleotides) under Pan troglodytes (chimpanzee). Its description in RNAcentral is "long non-coding RNA NONPTRT002518". The record is from RNAcentral. Lineage: Eukaryota; Metazoa; Chordata; Mammalia; Primates; Hominidae.
AAGGCACACAGCAGUGCAGACAGACUUUAUUAGUGAUAUCAAUACAGCAGAGGUGCCCAUGGAGCAGGGGGAAGGGACCCAUGCCUGGACCAGUCCCUUCCUCCUUCUGCCCCUGCUGGGUCCAGGAGGAUGAGGCCUGGCCUGGACCAGUUCCUCCUGUUCCACCUGAAACACAUGGGGAUGGAGAACCAGGGCUGGCCUUGCUUCCUGCUCCUCUUGUUACCACUCCAGUGUUAUCACUUCCUGAAGGGAUUAGAUCUCUCCCUCCCCAGCUCCUAGGCAGGGAACCGUAGUUACUAGGGAGGGGUAUACUUGUGAAGGCCUGAGGCCUAGGAAUAGCCUCUAGACCCUUCCCUGACCCACACCCUUUAGUUCCCUGGGGCCCAACACAAGCAGGUGGAGGGAAGGUGGGGGUUUUUCAUGGGGUAUGGGCCCCCAGCCGUUUGGGCUUCAGGGAGCCCCACAGCGACUGAACACCCCUGCGGACAGUCCACCCUACACGCCGUGCCACAGACUCAGCAGGGGGUGCUGGGAGGCAGGAGGUGGAGGCCUGGGAACGGGCAUCCAGACACUUCUGGUAGCGAAGCUGCGGAGGCAAGCAGGGCAGUCACUCUCCAGCCUGCCUCACAUGGGGCCACGCCACCACCACACCACCCUACUAGCUUACCAUGCACGCAGCCUGCACAGCCUCUGAGAGGCUGGCAGCAUUGGGCUCGCACCAGAACAUGUGGCAGCAGAAGGAGGCUGGGCCGGCAGCCAUGAUGAAUGCAAACGUGUGGACAUCUCUGCCCACGGCCAGGAAGGAGAGGAAACGCACCCGACACUCUCCCAGCACUGCCUCUGUCUGCAUGGAGGGAACUCAGUUAAAAAGGAACACCAACCUCACACUGUGUUCCACAUCCAUCUUAGCAGCUCUUCCCCUCACCCCCAGUCUCCCCUCUAUGGCAAGGCACAGCCACGACUUCUACCCCAGCUCUUUACCUGUUGGUGCAAGAUGGUGAGGGUAGCAGGGGCCACACUGACAUGACUUGGGGUCCAUUGUUCACGGCUGCUGGAGGACAGGACUGACUCGAGGGCCCCAUUAAUCACAUCUACCCCUAGAACAUAUGGACACAAGAUACCACUGAGGGUAGACAGAGGAUACCCCAGCUCUACCCUGGACCUCUAGUUCCACCCAAUCAAACCCAGAGCCUUUGCCCCAUCCCCACUUUGCCAGCCUACAUUUUGGACAAUGCUGUCCAAGUAUCCCUUCCCUGGGGCUCUCCUCCCCUGGCUUCAGUAACUGGACAUUUUCCUACUUUUUAAAAUCUUGGAUCCUAGGCUCAUUAUUUUCACUGGCUCUGCCUAUUCCUCCACACUUCUGAACUGACUGACCUCUCAAAGUUCUGAUUUCCCCAAAUCAUGCUCUCUCAGCGCUCAUCACACUCAGACACCACAUUGCUUCACACCACAAUAACUCCCAAAUCAGGCCCUACAGGCCAGUCCUCUCCCAAGACCCAAUUAUUUUUUAAGAUAUCUAUCUGAGGAGUGAUUACUCUGUAUCACAUUGUGCUAAGUCAUUACAGUGUAUUACCUCAUUUGUGCCCACACAACAACAUCACAAUAGAUUACUUUAUUUCCAUUUACAAAUAAGGAAACGGAAGAGAUAGGUAAUAUGC